AGCAGGGUGGCUCAGUGGAAAGAGCACAGGCUUGGGAGUCAGAGGUCCAAGGUUCUAAUCCUGGCUCCGCCA
Molecule: non-coding RNA, 72 nt
Organism: Ornithorhynchus anatinus (platypus)
Lineage: Eukaryota; Metazoa; Chordata; Mammalia; Monotremata; Ornithorhynchidae
Source: Rfam